UUGGGUUAUGGCUCAACGGUAGAGCGCUCGCCUAGCAUGUGCGAGCGAAGCCCUGGGUUUGAUCCUCAGCACUAAA
Molecule: transfer RNA, 76 nt
Filed under: Marmota monax (woodchuck)
Lineage: Eukaryota; Metazoa; Chordata; Mammalia; Rodentia; Sciuridae
Description: tRNA.Ala
Source: RNAcentral